Molecule: long non-coding RNA, 2327 nt
Filed under: Mus spicilegus (steppe mouse)
Lineage: Eukaryota; Metazoa; Chordata; Mammalia; Rodentia; Muridae
Description: lncRNA (ENSMSIG00000019890.1)
Source: RNAcentral
AAUUGGGAAGGUGCCUAAUGCUAACUCCUAAUCCCUCUUCAGCAUCUCCUCCAGGUUUCCUAGCCGCUCCUCACCCUCCAUGCUCCUCCUUACAAUGCCCCCAAGCUCUUCUCCCCAGCUCUUAGCCCCAUCUCCCUCCCAGUCCUGACUCCAGAGUGUCUUCCCCAGGCUCCUUUUCUAUCCUGGCUUCUCCCUUUGUGUUUACCACCCCCUCCACUCUGCAAUGCCCACUCUGCUUCCCCCAAACGCCUCUUCUUCCUCUGCCUCUUCAGGCUCCUCCUCUCAAUCCUCAUCCUCUCCUCCCUAGCUCUGUCUUCUCCUAGCAUUCCUUUCAUGCUCCCCCCUCCAGAGCCUCCCCAACUCCUAGAUUCUUCCCCAACUACACACUCCCAAAUUUCUCGGGAUCCUCCUCUCUCCACUCUCUCCUUAUCCUGGAUCUCGCUCUGCCUCUUUCUCCGGCUCCUCCUCUCUUCAAGCUCCUCCCCUCUCCCUUUUCUCUGGAUCUCCUCUUCCCCCUCUUCUCUCCGCCCCCUAACCUAAGUUCUCUCCAAGCUCCCCCUCCCACUCCAGUCCUUCCCCUUUCCUUCCCCACCGCCCUCUGGACGCUCCUCCUCUCCCUCUAGGUCUUUGGCCCGGCCCACAGAAUGAUCGAUGUGUCCGUCUGCAGGCUGGUCCUCGGCGCUCGGCUCGCCACGCCUGCGACGCUGCCAUGGAGACGUAGCCGCGGCCUCCUGGCUCUGCCCGGGACCUGGAUCCCUUGCGUCAGCAGGCCCACGCGUGUCCGCGAGCGCCGGUGGCAAAGUCUGCUUCGCUGGAGCAUCCGGGCAAGCGGUGACUUUGCUGGCCGCUGGGGCGUAGGGCUCGCAUCCUUCCUCCUUCCAGUAGCUCUCAACUCCAUAGCUGAGGACCGCUUCUCUCACCAGCGGAGAGGAGACCCUGGGACCGCCAACCGUCUGUGGGUUAUUAAGGGACCUGCGAUUGUCCAUCCGCCUCAUCCUUCCGCUCAGCUCAGCUCAGCUAGCUGCAUCCUGUCACCCUUGGUAAGAGUGGAAGACUGGCUAGAAGAAAGGACCUGAACCAACGCUUAGUCCACAUCCCCAUUGUGUUUUGAGCGGUGUGGACAGGCCAGCCCCUGCUGCAGACACCCUGGAUACAUCUCUUUGAGCUCAGCAGUAUUGCAGCGGCAGUGGACACCUGACAAGCUUCCCAGGAGUGGUGUGGAGUCACUGUCAACACUAGAGCACUUUGUCUGGAAUGGCUCUCACGUGGCUCCUGAAUGGUCGGAGAUGUGUCUUGGAUUCUCCUGCCCUCCUGAGGAUCUUGCCUAUGGAAGGUCUAAGUUACCUACUUUCACUAUUAAGUUGAACAAGGACUCCCAAACCCAACAGCCAUCAAGGUUGUUGGCCAACUAGUUACAAAGCACAGCAGCCGGCUGUUCCUGGCCUAGGAGGAAAGCCAGGUGUGCAGGACGCUGGGCCUGUGGGAUGAGUGGGCGAGUCCCGCUGGCAGAGAAGGCCCUGUCAGAAUCCUAUGCCCGCCUCCGGUACAGGGAUACGUCCUUGCUCAUUUGGCAACAAGAGCAGCAGAAGUUGGAGUCUGUACCACCUAGUACAUACCUGAGCAGAAGCCGCAGCAUGUGGUACUCCCAGUAUGGAAAUGAGGCCAUCUUAGUUCGAGACAAAAACCAGCUUGGGGUCUCUAGGGACACUGGCCAGUCUAAGUUUUGCUCAAUCAUGUAAUUCCAGGGAGAAGACCCUUGAUGGCCAUGAAGAUCAAGCCGUGGUAUAAAAACGCAACACCCAAGAAUGUCAUCCAACACUUUAUUAGGGGCACAACAGGUACCUAGAUGCUCCUCUCACUGCCCAAGCCCAGGAAAUGCUUCCAAACAAAAGGGAAGCAAGAGAGGCACACACCCGACCCUCACCUGCUGUGAGCUGCUGCCUGAUAUAGAAUGGAUCAGGUCCAGGGUAAGGUGACUCUUCUUGCAGGGUCCCAGAUCUGUCAGCUCACUGCAGUGGCAUGUGAAAGGGGGGCAGUGCUGGUAGUGACAUUACUGCAUUGUGAUAGCAUCCACACUAGCCACCAGAUGUGGCCUCUUAUAUAGGUGUGUCCGUAAGCAAAAUGUGCCCCGAAGUGAUUCCAAGCCUAAUCAAGUGUGGGGAAAGUGGAUUCUGAUGGUGACGAAUCAGAUCCUCUCUUCUACCAGGUUGCAAAGGCACUCAUUUAGAGGCUAGCACUUUCCCCCACAUGGCUAUGCAAAUGUGGGGAUGCAUUUUGUCAAAACUGAGCUUUCUAAAUAAACAUCUUAAAGACUCUUCCCUUUCUCA